GAUGAACGCUGGCGGCGCGCUUAACACAUGCAAGUCGAACGGUGAAGCUCCAGCUUGCUGGAGUGGAUCAGUGGCGAACGGGUGAGUAACACGUGAGCAACCUGCCCCUGACUCUGGGAUAACAGCCGGAAACGGCUGCUAAUACCGGAUAUGCACCAUGAACGCAUGUUCUGUGGUGGGAAAGAUUUUUCGGUUGGGGAUGGGCUCGCGGCCUAUCAGCUUGUUGGUGAGGUAAUGGCUCACCAAGGCGUCGACGGGUAGCCGGCCUGAGAGGGUGACCGGCCACACUGGGACUGAGACACGGCCCAGACUCCUACGGGAGGCAGCAGUGGGGAAUAUUGCACAAUGGGCGAAAGCCUGAUGCAGCAACGCCGCGUGAGGGAUGACGGCCUUCGGGUUGUAAACCUCUUUUAGCAGGGAAGAAGCGAGAGUGACGGUACCUGCAGAAAAAGCGCCGGCUAACUACGUG
This 469-nucleotide ribosomal RNA is filed under the name uncultured bacterium. Its description in RNAcentral is "partial 16S ribosomal RNA". It matches the Rfam family "Bacterial small subunit ribosomal RNA", at positions 28 to 507 of the family's 1533-position model. The record is from RNAcentral.